GCUUGGUAGCACAUUACUGUGGUCCCAGUCAGGAGGCUGGGCAGCAGGAUCGCAUGAGCCCAGGAGUUCUGGGCUGAGGUUGUGCUAUGCCCAUCUGGUGUCUGCCCUAAGUUCGGCAUCAAUAUGGUGAACCGGACCAGCAGGUAGCUAAGGAGGGGUGAACCUGCACAGGUUGGAGAGGGAGCAGCUCAAAACUCCCUUGCUGAUCAGUAGUAGGAUCUCGCCUGUGCAUAACCAUUGAGCUCCAGACUGGGUGACACAGAGAGACUCCGUAUCUU
Molecule: signal recognition particle RNA, 278 nt
Filed under: Microcebus murinus (gray mouse lemur)
Lineage: Eukaryota; Metazoa; Chordata; Mammalia; Primates; Cheirogaleidae
Description: Metazoan signal recognition particle RNA (ENSMICG00000035234.2)
Rfam family: Metazoan signal recognition particle RNA
About the family: The signal recognition particle (SRP) is a universally conserved ribonucleoprotein.
Source: Rfam by way of RNAcentral